UAAAAAAAUCAAAAAACAAAAAACCACUGCCAAACAAACACUCAGUUUAAAGACACUUCAGCCUUAAAUAAAAGGCAGAUGGACAAAUUCAUAACUGCCCACCAAUAAGAUUACCAAAAUGCAUUUAAAUUUGCGGAAAGCGACUCGAAAAACUUGCAUAUACAGCCUUCAAAUUCUGUUGAGCUGAAACUUUCAACGUCAUCAUAACUGCAAUCUUUGAUUAAUUGAGGAAUUAAUUAAUUGAGGGAAAAUGGUGAAGAAGAGAGUGAUGUCACCUACAGAUGAAGUUGAUUUGACUGAAGUCAAAUACCAGUAUGAGCAGAUUGAAGCUCCUCAUAUCACGGGAUCAACUUUUGGAUUCUUUGUUAACAUUCUUGAAGCUCCGGUCAUAGGUCCUCUUAUUGUUUCUUACCUGAGAAAGAAGAAUAAUACGGUUGAGCUGCUGAAGAAUACUGUCAUUCCAGAGAUUCCCAUGCAUAGACCUGAGUUCCCUCCCCAAGAACCGGAGCAAAAUGUUUCUGUUAUUGAAGAAACUGGUUGCCCUGAGGACCGUGUGGCAGAAGCCUUAAAGUGUCUCCCAGAAUAUGAUCCUGCUGGCUGUUGGGAUGGUAAUUUAGCAACAUCAUUUCGUUAUUGGAAGAUCCGUGAUUUUGCUUAUGCUUAUUGUGCCAAGCUUGUUACCCCAUCCAAGGUUGCUGAGAAACUAAUCUCAACCUUGGAAGAGUUUGAUAAUACAAAUCCUACUACCCCAUUACUCAUAUCCUGUGAUGUGGAGGAUAUAAGGAAGCAAGCAGCUGCUUCUACUCAAAGAUUUGAAGAGGGAAAUCCUAUAUCAGUUCUAGAUGGAAUUUUCAUGGCAAUCAAGGAUGAUAUAGAUUGUUAUCCACAUCCGUCCAAGGGUGCUACAACAUGGUUUCAUGAAGUUCGUCCUGUUAAGAAGGAUGCAGUUUCUGUCUCUAGGCUGCGCAGUUGUGGUGUAAUUUUGAUUGGAAAGGCAAAUAUGCAUGAAUUCGGUCUUGGGACAACUGGAAACAAUGCUAAUUACGGAACAACAAGAAAUCCACAUGCACAUGAUAGGUACACCGGCGGAUCUUCAUCAGGCCCAGCUGCACUUGUAGCUUCGGGACUAUGUUCAGCUUCUCUUGGGACAGAUGGUGGAGGUUCAGUUCGCAUCCCUUCAUCCCUGUGUGGGGUCGUGGGUUUGAAAACAACGUAUGGAAGAACUGAUAUGAGAGGGUCAUUGUGUGGUUCAGGGACUGUGGAAGUUAUUGGCCCAAUUGCAUCAUCAGUUGAGGAUGCUAUGCUUGUGUAUGCAGCGAUACUGGGUUCCUCUCCUGCAGAUAGAAUUGUCCUAAAACCUUCUCCACCUUGCUUACCCAAUCUGUCAUCUGAAGCCCGGCUCAGUGCUGUAGGGUCAUUGCGACUUGGGAAGUACACGGAGUGGUUCAAUGAUGUGUACUCUACUGAAGUCUCUCAGAAGUGUGAGGAUGUUCUGAAUUGGCUUUCAGAAACUUAUAAUUUCCAAACAGAGGAAAUUACUAUUCCUGAACUGCAUGAGAUGCGCACUGCACAUGUAGUUUCAAUUGGAUCUGAAGCUUUGUGCUCACUAAAUCCAUAUUGCGAAGAGGGGAAUAAUUCAAAGUUGACAUAUGAUACCCGCACAAAUUUGGCACUUUUCCGUUCCUUUUCAGCCACAGACUACAUUGCAGCCCAACGGAUUAGGCGAAGGAUGAUGAACUACCACAUGGAGGUCUUCAAGAAGGUGGACAUCAUAGUGACACCAACCACUGGGUUACCUGAUGCGCUUUGUUGUGGCUGCAAAUCUUCUUGGUUUCCCUGCCAUUUCUAUCCCGAUUGGUUAUGAUGAGCAGGGACUACCGAUUGGCUUACAGCUUAUAGGCCGACCAUGGAAUGAAGCAACACUUUUGCGUUUGGCAUCUGUCAUCGAGGAAUCAUAUGGGAUGACCAAGAAAAGACCAGCUUCGUACUAUGAUAUCUUGAAGGGUGCAUAGAUGGCGUCUCCCAUUUCCGAGUCUCCAGAAUUUACAUUUUAUUUAGAUAUGAUGUUGGGAUGUUAAAGAUCCUAUUCAUGUUGCUUCCUACACAUAAGCGGGUUCUAAUCGGCAUUAUUGUUCUAAUCCAUUGUUUACAAGAUUCAUGUACAUUAUACAUUGCUUCACAUUUGAGUACAUUAUGAUGUAUUGCAUUGAAUAAAAAUUCAUUUGCUUUAUAUGUCUUAUAUAAGUUUCUUUACAAAGAAAUGGAUUGGUGAAUUAAAACUA
Chenopodium quinoa (quinoa) is the source of this 2282-nucleotide RNA transcript. It is a transcript of the gene named fatty acid amide hydrolase-like, with no coding region annotated. NCBI's taxonomy places the organism in Eukaryota, Viridiplantae, Streptophyta, Magnoliopsida, Caryophyllales, Amaranthaceae. The transcript is spliced from 20 exons. The record is from RefSeq and is a predicted model, not a curated record.